Molecule: transfer RNA, 69 nt
Filed under: Ixodes scapularis (black-legged tick)
Lineage: Eukaryota; Metazoa; Arthropoda; Arachnida; Ixodida; Ixodidae
Description: tRNA-Ser
Rfam family: tRNA (bases 6-61)
About the family: Transfer RNA (tRNA) molecules are approximately 80 nucleotides in length. Their secondary structure includes four short double-helical elements and three loops (D, anti-codon, and T loops). Further hydrogen bonds mediate the characteristic L-shaped molecular structure. tRNAs have two regions of fundamental functional importance: the anti-codon, which is responsible for specific mRNA codon recognition, and the 3' end, to which the tRNAs corresponding amino acid is attached (by aminoacyl-tRNA synthetases). tRNAs cope with the degeneracy of the genetic code in two manners: having more than one tRNA (with a specific anti-codon) for a particular amino acid; and 'wobble' base-pairing, i.e. permitting non-standard base-pairing at the 3rd anti-codon position.
Source: RNAcentral
GGUUUGCUCAGAUGGUAGAGUGCUCCACUGGAAAUGGUGAGGUCCCUGGUUUGAUACCAGGCAUAAUUU